AGUGAACGCUGGCGGUAGGCCUAACACAUGCAAGUCGAACGGUAGCACAGUAAGAGCUUGCUCUUACGGGUGGCGAGUGGCGGACGGGUGAGGAAUACAUCGGAAUCUACUUUUUCGUGGGGGAUAACGUAGGGAAACUUACGCUAAUACCGCAUACGACCUACGGGUGAAAGCAGGGGAUCUUCGGACCUUGCGCGAUUGAAUGAGCCGAUGUCGGAUUAGCUAGUUGGCGGGGUAAAGGCCCACCAAGGCGACGAUCCGUAGCUGGUCUGAGAGGAUGAUCAGCCACACUGGAACUGAGACACGGUCCAGACUCCUACGGGAGGCAGCAGUGGGGAAUAUUGGACAAUGGGCGCAAGCCUGAUCCAGCCAUACCGCGUGGGUGAAGAAGGCCUUCGGGUUGUAAAGCCCUUUUGUUGGGAAAGAAAAGCAGCAGGUUAAUACCCCGCUGUUCUGACGGUACCCAAAGAAUAAACACCGGCUAACUUCGU
RNAcentral lists this ribosomal RNA (491 nucleotides) under uncultured bacterium. Its description in RNAcentral is "partial 16S ribosomal RNA". It matches the Rfam family "Bacterial small subunit ribosomal RNA", at positions 29 to 506 of the family's 1533-position model. The record is from RNAcentral.